This 1194-nucleotide ribosomal RNA is filed under the name Staphylococcus aureus VET0358R. RNAcentral describes it as "bacterial SSU rRNA". It matches the Rfam family "Bacterial small subunit ribosomal RNA", at positions 8 to 1183 of the family's 1533-position model. The record is from RNAcentral. Lineage: Bacteria; Bacillati; Bacillota; Bacilli; Caryophanales; Staphylococcaceae.
AGAGUUUGAUCCUGGCUCAGGAUGAACGCUGGCGGCGUGCCUAAUACAUGCAAGUCGAGCGAACGGACGAGAAGCUUGCUUCUCUGAUGUUAGCGGCGGACGGGUGAGUAACACGUGGAUAACCUACCUAUAAGACUGGGAUAACUUCGGGAAACCGGAGCUAAUACCGGAUAAUAUUUUGAACCGCAUGGUUCAAAAGUGAAAGACGGUCUUGCUGUCACUUAUAGAUGGAUCCGCGCUGCAUUAGCUAGUUGGUAAGGUAACGGCUUACCAAGGCAACGAUGCAUAGCCGACCUGAGAGGGUGAUCGGCCACACUGGAACUGAGACACGGUCCAGACUCCUACGGGAGGCAGCAGUAGGGAAUCUUCCGCAAUGGGCGAAAGCCUGACGGAGCAACGCCGCGUGAGUGAUGAAGGUCUUCGGAUCGUAAAACUCUGUUAUUAGGGAAGAACAUAUGUGUAAGUAACUGUGCACAUCUUGACGGUACCUAAUCAGAAAGCCACGGCUAACUACGUGCCAGCAGCCGCGGUAAUACGUAGGUGGCAAGCGUUAUCCGGAAUUAUUGGGCGUAAAGCGCGCGUAGGCGGUUUUUUAAGUCUGAUGUGAAAGCCCACGGCUCAACCGUGGAGGGUCAUUGGAAACUGGAAAACUUGAGUGCAGAAGAGGAAAGUGGAAUUCCAUGUGUAGCGGUGAAAUGCGCAGAGAUAUGGAGGAACACCAGUGGCGAAGGCGACUUUCUGGUCUGUAACUGACGCUGAUGUGCGAAAGCGUGGGGAUCAAACAGGAUUAGAUACCCUGGUAGUCCACGCCGUAAACGAUGAGUGCUAAGUGUUAGGGGGUUUCCGCCCCUUAGUGCUGCAGCUAACGCAUUAAGCACUCCGCCUGGGGAGUACGACCGCAAGGUUGAAACUCAAAGGAAUUGACGGGGACCCGCACAAGCGGUGGAGCAUGUGGUUUAAUUCGAAGCAACGCGAAGAACCUUACCAAAUCUUGACAUCCUUUGACAACUCUAGAGAUAGAGCCUUCCCCUUCGGGGGACAAAGUGACAGGUGGUGCAUGGUUGUCGUCAGCUCGUGUCGUGAGAUGUUGGGUUAAGUCCCGCAACGAGCGCAACCCUUAAGCUUAGUUGCCAUCAUUAAGUUGGGCACUCUAAGUUGACUGCCGGUGACAAACCGGAGGAAGGUGGGGAUGAC